CAAUAGCGUAUAUUUAAGUUGUUGCAGUUAAAAAGCUCGUAGUUGGAUUUCGGUUGAGAGCGGCCGGUCCGCCGUUUGGUGUGCACUGGCUGGUUUCAACUUCCUGUAGAGGACGCGCUUUGGGCUUAACGGUCUGGACGUGGAGUCUACGUGGUUACUUUGAAAAAAUUAGAGUGUUCAAAGCAGGCUUAUGCCGUUGAAUAUAUUAGCAUGGAAUAAUGAGAUAGGACUUCGUCACUAUUUUGUUGGUUUGCGUGAUGAGGUAAUGAUUAAUAGGGACAGUUGGGGGUAUUCGUAUUCCAUUGUCAGAGGUGAAAUUCUUGGAUUUUUGGAAGACGAACUACUGCGAAAGCAUUUACCAAGGAUGUUUUCAUUAA
Molecule: ribosomal RNA, 377 nt
Filed under: uncultured eukaryote
Lineage: Eukaryota
Description: partial 18S ribosomal RNA
Rfam family: Eukaryotic small subunit ribosomal RNA
Source: RNAcentral